UACAGGGGGUGCAAACGUUGCUCGGAAUCAUUGGGCGUAAAGCGCACGUAGGCGGUCUGUUAUGUCGGAUGUGAAAGCCCUCGGCUUAACUGAGGAAGUGCGCCUGAAACUACUGAGCUUGAGUACCGGAGAGGGCGGUGGAAUUCCCGGUGUAGAGGUGAAAUUCGUAGAUAUCGGGAGGAACACCAGCGGCGAAGGCGACCGCCUGGACGGCUACUGACGCUGAGACGCGAAAGCGUGGGGAGCAAACAGG
Molecule: ribosomal RNA, 253 nt
Filed under: uncultured bacterium
Lineage: Bacteria
Description: partial 16S ribosomal RNA
Rfam family: Bacterial small subunit ribosomal RNA
Source: RNAcentral